AUACGUAGGGAGCAAGCGUUGUCCGGAUUUACUGGGUGUAAAGGGUGCGUAGGCGGCUUUUUAAGUCAGAUGUGAAAUCUAUGGGCUCAACCCAUAAACUGCAUUUGAAACCAGAGAGCUUGAGUGAAGUAGAGGCAGGCGGAAUUCCCUGUGUAGCGGUGAAAUGCGUAGAGAUAGGGAGGAACACCAGUGGCGAAGGCGGCCUGCUGGGCUUUAACUGACGCUGAGGCACGAAAGCGUGGGUAGCAAACAGGAUUAGAUACCCUGGUAGUCCACGCUGUAAACGAUGAUUACUAGGUGUGGGGGGACUGACCCCUUCCGUGCCGGAGUUAACACAAUAAGUAAUCCACCUGGGGAGUACGGCCGCAAGGUUGAAACUCAAAUGAAUUGACGGGG
RNAcentral lists this ribosomal RNA (396 nucleotides) under uncultured bacterium. RNAcentral's name for it is "partial 16S ribosomal RNA". It matches the Rfam family "Bacterial small subunit ribosomal RNA", at positions 523 to 918 of the family's 1533-position model. The record is from RNAcentral.